CCACUACCAGUAUCCAAGAUGGACGCCGCGGCGAGGCCUGGCCGGCUCCCCGCCUUAGCCUGCACCCCAUUGUGUGCCCUCUAAGCGCGAAUUAGGCUCGCAGACACGCGGUGCUGACCGCUAGGCAGCCAUGCGGGCUACCGAGUGCGACUGGACACGGCCGGGGCCCGUGUUUACGGUCACUACUGGCCCCCGGUCCCUGCGCCUCCUCAACCGCGAAGCACCCAGCGGCUGGCGCCUGGAGCGUCUUUUGGUUCAUCUGCAGAAGCCAGCGGACGCCUCUGUUCUCCUUGUGGGUUACCUGGCUCAUGAGACCUUGCCGGCGAGGCUCGGCGCUUGAACGUCUGUGACCCAGCCCUCACCGUCCCGGUACUUGUAUGUGUUGGUGGGAGUUUGGAGCUCGUUGGAGCUAUCGUUUCCGUGGAAAUUUUGAGCCAUUUCGAAUCACUUAAAGGAGUGGACAUUGCUAGCAAUGAGCUCCCAAAGCCAUCCAGAUGGACUUUCUGGCCGAGACCAGCCAGUGGAGCUGCUGAAUCCUGCCCGCGUGAACCACAUGCCCAGCACGGUGGAUGUGGCCGCGGCGCUGCCUCUGCAAGUGGCCCCCUCGGCAGUGCCCAUGGACCUGCGCCUGGACCACCAGUUCUCACUGCCUGUGGCAGAGCCGGCCCUGCGGGAGCAGCAGCUGCAGCAGGAGCUCCUGGCGCUCAAGCAGAAGCAGCAGAUCCAGAGGCAGAUCCUCAUCGCCGAGUUCCAGAGGCAGCACGAGCAGCUCUCCCGGCAGCACGAGGCGCAGCUCCACGAGCACAUCAAGCAACAGCAGGAGAUGCUGGCCAUGAAGCACCAGCAGGAGCUGCUGGAACACCAGCGGAAGCUGGAGAGGCACCGCCAGGAGCAAGAGCUGGAGAAGCAGCACCGGGAGCAGAAGCUGCAGCAGCUCAAGAACAAGGAGAAGGGCAAAGAGAGUGCCGUGGCCAGCACAGAAGUGAAGAUGAAGUUACAAGAAUUUGUCCUCAAUAAAAAGAAGGCGCUGGCCCACCGGAAUCUGAACCACUGCAUUUCCAGCGACCCUCGCUACUGGUACGGGAAAACGCAGCACAGUUCCCUUGACCAGAGUUCUCCACCCCAGAGCGGAGUGUCGACCUCCUAUAACCACCCGGUCCUGGGAAUGUACGACGCCAAAGAUGACUUCCCUCUUAGGAAAACAGCUUCUGAACCGAAUCUGAAAUUACGGUCCAGGCUAAAGCAGAAAGUGGCCGAAAGACGGAGCAGCCCCCUGUUACGCAGGAAAGACGGGCCAGUGGUCACUGCUCUAAAAAAGCGUCCGUUGGAUGUCACAGACUCCGCGUGCAGCAGCGCCCCAGGCUCCGGACCCAGCUCACCCAACAACAGCUCCGGGAGCGUCAGCGCGGAGAACGGUAUCGCGCCCACCGUCCCCAGCAUCCCGGCGGAGACGAGUUUGGCGCACAGACUUGUGGCACGAGAAGGCUCGGCCGCUCCACUUCCCCUCUACACGUCGCCAUCCCUGCCCAACAUCACGCUGGGCCUGCCUGCCACCGGCCCCUCUGCUGGCACGGCGGGCCAGCAGGACGCCGAGAGACUCGCCCUUCCCGCCCUCCAGCAGAGGCUCUCCCUUUUCCCCGGCACCCACCUCACUCCCUACCUGAGCACCUCGCCCUUGGAGCGGGACGGAGGGGCAGCGCACAGCCCUCUUCUGCAGCACAUGGUCUUACUGGAGCAGCCGCCGGCACAAGCGCCCCUCGUCACAGACUGGUAUCUUUCAGGCCUGGGAGCACUGCCCCUCCACGCACAGUCCUUGGUUGGUGCAGACCGGGUGUCCCCCUCCAUCCACAAGCUGCGGCAGCACCGCCCACUGGGGCGGACCCAGUCGGCCCCGCUGCCCCAGAACGCCCAGGCUCUGCAGCACCUGGUCAUCCAGCAGCAGCAUCAGCAGUUUCUGGAGAAACACAAGCAGCAGUUCCAGCAGCAGCAACUGCAGAUGAACAAGAUCAUCCCCAAGCCAAGCGAGCCAGCCCGGCAGCCGGAGAGCCACCCGGAGGAGACGGAGGAGGAGCUCCGUGAGCACCAGGCUCUGCUGGACGAGCCCUACCUGGACCGGCUGCCGGGGCAGAAGGAGGCGCACGCACAGGCCGGCGUGCAGGUGAAGCAGGAGCCCAUUGAGAGCGAUGACGAAGAGGCAGAGCCCCCACGGGAGGUGGAGCCAGGCCAGCGCCAGCCCAGUGAGCAGGAGCUGCUCUUCAGACAGCAAGCCCUCCUGCUGGAGCAGCAGCGGAUCCACCAGCUGAGGAACUACCAGGCGUCCAUGGAGGCCGCCGGCAUCCCCGUGUCCUUCGGCGGCCACAGGCCUCUGUCCCGGGCGCAGUCCUCACCCGCGUCUGCCACCUUCCCCGUGUCUGUGCAGGAGCCCCCCACCAAGCCGAGGUUCACGACAGGCCUCGUGUAUGACACGCUGAUGCUGAAGCACCAGUGCACCUGCGGGAGCAGCAGCAGCCACCCCGAGCACGCCGGGAGGAUCCAGAGCAUCUGGUCCCGCCUGCAGGAGACGGGCCUCCGGGGCAAAUGCGAGUGCAUCCGCGGACGCAAGGCCACCCUGGAGGAGCUACAGACGGUGCACUCGGAAGCCCACACCCUCCUGUAUGGCACGAACCCCCUCAACCGGCAGAAACUGGACAGUAAGAAACUUCUAGGCUCGCUCGCCUCCGUGUUCGUCCGGCUCCCCUGCGGUGGUGUUGGGGUAAGUGUUCCUUUAAUAUGUAAAUAAUGUCCUGUUUCUUCUUGAGUCCCAGUGGUCACAGAAAUCGCAGCCUUGCUUCCCUCAAAGUGAAUAAUUGCUGCCAGGUGUUUUCCAUACGCAGGGGCUGCCCAUGUGCGGCUUCAAAGGCCGUGUGAGCCGAGAGCGUUUUGAUCGCCGACUCGGGCACCUUUCUCUGGGGAAGGUUGUCUGGCGCAGGCGGCUGGGGCUCUGGGGUGCAGUGGCUCUGGCUUUAAGAAACAGGAUCCUGUAUGCAGCCAGCAUCUCAUCCCCUUCCAAGUCUGCGGCAGUAAUCUGCUCACAUCAGGCCACGAGUAUGGUGCGGGUAGGAUGCGUGCUUCUAUAUUCUGUACCUAGUUUCCACCCGAAGCUACAGGUGGGGCUCCCAGUGCAGUGACCGUGAUACUCAUGGGCCACG
This 3188-nucleotide small RNA is filed under the name Pan troglodytes (chimpanzee). RNAcentral's name for it is "retained intron". Lineage: Eukaryota; Metazoa; Chordata; Mammalia; Primates; Hominidae. The record is from RNAcentral.